GCCGUGAUCGUAUAGUGGUUAGUACCUUGCGUUGUGGCCGCAAGAACCCAGGUUCGAAUCCUGGUCACGGCA
RNAcentral lists this transfer RNA (72 nucleotides) under Rhipicephalus microplus (southern cattle tick). Its description in RNAcentral is "tRNA-His". It matches the Rfam family "tRNA". Rfam says of the family: Transfer RNA (tRNA) molecules are approximately 80 nucleotides in length. Their secondary structure includes four short double-helical elements and three loops (D, anti-codon, and T loops). Lineage: Eukaryota; Metazoa; Arthropoda; Arachnida; Ixodida; Ixodidae. The record is from Rfam by way of RNAcentral.